This 463-nucleotide ribosomal RNA is filed under the name uncultured bacterium. RNAcentral's name for it is "partial 16S ribosomal RNA". It matches the Rfam family "Bacterial small subunit ribosomal RNA", at positions 28 to 507 of the family's 1533-position model. The record is from RNAcentral.
GACGAACGCUGGCGGCGUGCUUAACACAUGCAAGUCGAACGGCGACACUCUUCGGAGGGGCUCAGUGGCGAACGGGUGAGUAAAACGUGGGCAAACUGCCCCCGGCUCUGGGAUAACUCCAAGAAAACGGGGGUAAACUCGGAUGUUUACCGCAUCCCGCAUGGGUGGUGGUGAAAAGGGUUUGCGGAUGGGGAUGGGUCCGCGGCCCAGCUGCCUGUUGGGGGGGUAGUGGGCUACCAAGGCGACGACGGGUAGCCGACCUUGGAGGGUGACCGGCCACACUGGUACUAAGGCACGGCCCAGACUCCAACGGGGGGCAGCGGUGGGGAAUAUUGUGCAAUGGUCGGAAGCCUGACGCGGCGGCGCCGCGUUGGUAAUGACGGCUUUCGGGUUGUAAACCUCUUUCGGCAGGGACGAAGCUCAAGUGACGGUACCUGCAGAAGAAGCACCGGCUAACUACGUG